AUUUUGGUAAUUCAAGCGGCGGACGGGUGAGUAACGCGUGAGCAACCUGCCUUUCACAGGGGGAUAACGCAUCGAAAGGUGCACUAAUACCGCAUGAGACCACGCUCCCGACAUGAGAGAGGGGUCAAAGGAGCAAUCCGGUGAGAGAUGGGCUCGCGUCUGAUUAGCUAGUUGGUGAGGUAACGGCCCACCAAGGCGACGAUCAGUAGCCGACCUGAGAGGGUGAUCGGCCACAUUGGAACUGAGAGACGGUCCAAACUCCUACGGGAGGCAGCAGUGGGGAAUAUUGGGCAAUGGGGGAAACCCUGACCCAGCAACGCCGCGUGAAGGAAGAAGGUUUUCGGAUCGUAAACUUCUAUCCUUGGUGAAAAUAGUGAUGGUAGCCAAGAAGGAAGCCCCGGCUAACUACGUGCCAGCAGCCGCGGUAAUACGUAGGGGGCAAGCGUUGUCCGGAAUGAUUGGGCGUAAAGGGCGCGUAGGCGGCCUGAUAAGUUUGAAGU
Molecule: ribosomal RNA, 500 nt
Filed under: uncultured bacterium
Lineage: Bacteria
Description: bacterial SSU rRNA
Rfam family: Bacterial small subunit ribosomal RNA
Source: RNAcentral